UUCCGGUUUUGUUUGACGCGAACUGAAAGUUACGAAUUCAAUCUUUAAAACGGUUAGAAGUGCAAUCAAACCGCAGAAAAAAAAAAUGUUGCGUGCGAAUAACUACCAAAACGCGAUUGCGUACCAGCACCCCAAGUACGCCGACAAGAUGCAAAAAGAAUGCAUGAGGGGGCGCAUCGAGUUCUGCUCCAGGUUCCUCACCGUGGGGGAAUGGCAUAAAUGUUAUCCGGAACCCAAGAACAUGGACCGUGCAUUGGAGAAACUUAUUUUGAAGGAGGUGCUAGCCUUAACACCUAAACUAAUGAAUAAGUAAGAAGAGAAGUUUAAGUUUUCAGAUUUCCCAAUGCCCCAUAUUAAAGGACCUUUAUAUUACAAACAAACAUCACAUGCUUGGAAUAAAUGGAGUUACAUUCAAUUUGAAUCGAUCCAAGGAUAUGGAGUUUGUCCCGUUUGGUUCUGAAUUUUAAGGGCUGCAGGAAAUCAUUAUCAUUAAAUGUUAUUAUUCGUUGAUUUAUCUGAUAUUGUUCUAUAUAAAGUUGUUCAAAUAUAAUAAUUUAUGUAUCUUUUA
This is a long non-coding RNA of Anthonomus grandis grandis, 568 nucleotides long. RefSeq lists it as uncharacterized. The transcript has 3 exons. Lineage: Eukaryota; Metazoa; Arthropoda; Insecta; Coleoptera; Curculionidae. The record is from RefSeq and is a predicted model, not a curated record.